Acanthosepion pharaonis is the source of this 100-nucleotide non-coding RNA. The record is from the annotation of a GenBank genome assembly. Lineage: Eukaryota; Metazoa; Mollusca; Cephalopoda; Sepiida; Sepiidae.
CGUUAAAACACCGGUUCCCGUACAAUCACCGAAGUUAAGCAACGUCGCGCCUGGUCAGUACCGAGAUGGAUGACUUCUUGGGUAUAUCAGGAGCUGUAAG